Molecule: ribosomal RNA, 614 nt
Filed under: Trichoderma longibrachiatum
Lineage: Eukaryota; Fungi; Ascomycota; Sordariomycetes; Hypocreales; Hypocreaceae
Description: eukaryotic LSU rRNA
Rfam family: 5.8S ribosomal RNA (bases 241-394)
Source: RNAcentral
UGCGGAGGGAUCAUUACCGAGUUUACAACUCCCAAACCCCAAUGUGAACGUUACCAAUCUGUUGCCUCGGCGGGAUUCUCUUGCCCCGGGCGCGUCGCAGCCCCGGAUCCCAUGGCGCCCGCCGGAGGACCAACUCCAAACUCUUUUUUUCUCUCCGUCGCGGCUCCCGUCGCGGCUCUGUUUUAUUUUUGCUCUGAGCCUUUCUCGGCGACCCUAGCGGGCGUCUCGAAAAUGAAUCAAAACUUUCAACAACGGAUCUCUUGGUUCUGGCAUCGAUGAAGAACGCAGCGAAAUGCGAUAAGUAAUGUGAAUUGCAGAAUUCAGUGAAUCAUCGAAUCUUUGAACGCACAUUGCGCCCGCCAGUAUUCUGGCGGGCAUGCCUGUCCGAGCGUCAUUUCAACCCUCGAACCCCUCCGGGGGGUCGGCGUUGGGGAUCGGCCCCUCACCGGGCCGCCCCCGAAAUACAGUGGCGGUCUCGCCGCAGCCUCUCCUGCGCAGUAGUUUGCACACUCGCACCGGGAGCGCGGCGCGGCCACAGCCGUAAAACACCCCAAACUUCUGAAAUGUUGACCUCGGAUCAGGUAGGAAUACCCGCUGAACUUAAGCAUAUCAAA